AUGAUGAUGAACAAACGUGAAAAAUAUGUAGUGAAAGAGUUAAAUGAUUUUGGAAAUGUGAAAAGUCCAAAAAUUGACCUAAAUACUUUUUCUAAUUUAUAUAUACAUUCUAUGUCUAAUCAAAAAGAAUCAAUAGAUGAACAUUCCAAUUUGAAUAGAAUUAAACAUGUGAGCGGGUCUGAUAAUAGAUUAAGCUAUAAAAAAAUUUUAGAGGAAUAUAAGGAUUUGCUGAAAAAUGUGAUAAAUAAAAAGCCAAAUAAAAAAACGAAUAAUUUAUAUGGUAGCAUAAAAAAAAAUGGCGAAUUGGCAUGUAAAGAGUUAACCAAUAAAAGUGACAAAGUUUAUACGUCUAACGCUUUUUUCAAUAGGUUAAGAAAAUAUAACAAAAGUAACAUAAAAAAUAUCAGCAAUUUGCAUAUUCUUUGUAAAAACAAAUUCGCUUAUAUCAUAGCUCGAUUAAUGAAAAAAAAAUAUUUUAAUUAUAAGAACAUAAAAAAGCAAGUACCACAGUUUAUAGAUAAUCAAAACUGUAUUAGUACUGAAGAUAUAACAGAAAACAUUCAAAAAAAAAAAAAAAAACAUAAUUAUACCAAUAUAAAUAAAAUAACAAAUAAUGCAACCAAAAGCGAAAUAAAUGUUUUAACUAGUGAAAAAUUGUUAAGCAAUGAAUUAUUACGUCGCUUUGAAAAAAAAAAAAAUAACAUUUUUAAUUUUUAUAUUAUAAAUGCAAAACAUUUCACCUUUUUUAGAAAAAAAAGAAUAGUAAAAAAAAUUCGAACUUUAACUAUGGUACCAGAAAAAGCUAUAAAAAAAAAAGGAAAUAAUAAUAAACAUACACAUGUUCCUGCUUCUGUCCUCCACGUACCUAUUCCGAAAAAAAAGAAAAGAAAAAAACUAUUUAAUAAAGAAGAAAAAAAUAGUAAUAUAAAAAUGGUAACAAAAGCAGAUAAUGUAAAAAGGAUAAAUGAAGAGGAACAUAAAAUGGACCACCAUGUUGAUAUAUUUGAAAAUUAUACUAAUCAAGAAAUAGGAACAGGAACAGGAACAGGAACAGGAACAGGAACAGGAACAGGAANNNNNNNNNNAGGAACAGGAACAGGAACAGGAACAGGAACAGGAACAGGAACAGGAACAGGAACAGGAACAGGAACAGGAACAGGAACAGGAACAGGAACAGGAACAGGAAACCGUUGUCAUAAAAGUAUAAACUUUAAAGAAGAGUUAAAAAAAAUAAAC
RNAcentral lists this long non-coding RNA (1236 nucleotides) under Piliocolobus tephrosceles (Ugandan red Colobus). Its description in RNAcentral is "lncRNA (ENSPTEG00000011188.1)". The record is from RNAcentral. Lineage: Eukaryota; Metazoa; Chordata; Mammalia; Primates; Cercopithecidae.